UACAGAGGGUGCAAACGUUGCUCGGAAUUAUUGGGCGUAAAGCGCACGUAGGCGGUUUGGUAAGUUGGAUGUGAAAACCCUGGGCUUAACCCUGGAAGUGCAUCCAAGACUGCCAAGCUAGAGUGUCGGAGGGGGUCGGAGAAUUCCCGGUGUAGAGGUGAAAUUCGUAGAUAUCGGGAGGAACAUCUGUGGCGAAGGCGCCGACCUGGACGACAACUGACGCUGAGGUGCGAAAGCAUGGGGAGCAAACAGG
This 253-nucleotide ribosomal RNA is filed under the name uncultured bacterium. Its description in RNAcentral is "partial 16S ribosomal RNA". It matches the Rfam family "Bacterial small subunit ribosomal RNA", at positions 524 to 776 of the family's 1533-position model. The record is from RNAcentral.